GACGAACGCUGGCGGCGUGCUUAACACAUGCAAGUCGAGCGGUGAGGCCCGGCUCUUGUGCCGUUCUGGAGAGCCGAAAAGGGGAGUGUCACGUGAGUAGACUCUGCUUUACUUUGGGAUAACUUCAGGGGACAGGAGCGAAUACCGCGUAUAAGAACCUUAUGCAUAGGGUGGGUUGGAGAGUGUCGUAGUUUUGGGAUGGACUCGCGGUUUAUCAGCGUGUUGGUGGGGUGGUGGCGUAACAAGGCAUUGAGGGGUAGCCGGCCUGAGAGGGUGACCGGCCCCAUUGGGACUGAGAUGCCGCCCAGACUCCUACGGGAGCCAGGAGCGGGGGAUAGUGCACACUGGGCGGAAGCCGGAUGGAGCAACGCCGGGUGGUGGAUGACUGCCUUCGGGUUGUAACCCGCUUGCGCGUGUAACGCAGCGUGAGUGACGGUAACGAGUAAAGAAGCACCGGCUAACUACGUG
RNAcentral lists this ribosomal RNA (468 nucleotides) under uncultured bacterium. Its description in RNAcentral is "partial 16S ribosomal RNA". It matches the Rfam family "Bacterial small subunit ribosomal RNA", at positions 28 to 507 of the family's 1533-position model. The record is from RNAcentral.